GAUGAAGAACGUAGCGAAAUGCGAUAAGUAAUGUGAAUUGCAGAAUUCAGUGAAUCAUCGAAUCUUUGAACGCACAUUGCGCCCGCCAGUAUUCUGGCGGGCAUGCCUGUUCGAGCGUCAUUACAACCCUCAGGCCCCCGGGCCUGGCGUUGGGGAUCGGCGGAGCCCCCCGUGGGCACACGCCGUCCCCCAAAUACAGUGGCGGUCCCGCCGCAGCUUCCAUCGCGUAGUAGCUAACACCUCGCGACUGGAGAGCGGCGCGGCCACGCCGUAAAACACCCAACUCUUCUGAAGUUGACCUCGAAUCAGGUAGGAAUACCCGCUGAGCUUAAGCAUAUCAAUAAGCGGAGGA
This 352-nucleotide unclassified non-coding RNA is filed under the name soil metagenome. Its description in RNAcentral is "partial contains 5.8S ribosomal RNA, internal transcribed spacer 2, and large subunit ribosomal RNA". The stretch from base 1 to 120 matches the Rfam family "5.8S ribosomal RNA", at positions 35 to 154 of the family's 154-position model. The record is from RNAcentral.